GGUGCCUUGGGGAAGAUCUCCGCCCCUGUCACGCCCCAUCCCUGCCUGUCCCGACGCAGAGGCGUGGAAGGGAACAGCUCCGGGCUGACCGUGCCCCGCCUCCCCUGUCCCAGCACGGCGGCGGCUGAGGAAACGCCCCUUCCCCGCUCACGGCCAGCGGCUGCCCCGUCCCGAUCGCCUUUGGGGUUCGCCCCUCCCAACGCGAACUCUCGGCAGGGGCCGCCCUUUCCCUGCUCCGUGCCCGCAGUGCAAAGUGCCGUGACAUCUGACGCAGGAAAGUGGAGCGUGAAGCAGAAGGACUUGCACGACUCACACACGAGAACAUAGUGCGGUAUCACUGCAGCUGGAAAGGGCAGGACCAUAUCAAGUACCCAGACUCAAGCCAAAAUUCAGACA
Long non-coding RNA from Prinia subflava (tawny-flanked prinia), 396 nucleotides. RefSeq lists it as uncharacterized. Lineage: Eukaryota; Metazoa; Chordata; Aves; Passeriformes; Cisticolidae. The transcript is spliced from 3 exons. The record is from RefSeq and is a predicted model, not a curated record.